UGGCGACCGGGCGCACGGGUGAGUAACGCGUAUCCAACCUGCCCUUUACUAUGGGACAGCCCGUCGAAAGGCGGAUUAAUACCGUAUGUUGUCAUGUUGAUGCAUAUUUUCAUGACCAAAGGCUUCGGCCGGUAAAGGAUGGGGAUGCGUCUGAUUAGCUUGCCGGCGGGGUAACGGCCCACCGGGGCGACGAUCAGUAGGGGUUCUGAGAGGAAGGUCCCCCCACAUUGGAACUGAGACACGGUCCAAACUCCUACGGGAGGCAGCAG
RNAcentral lists this ribosomal RNA (269 nucleotides) under uncultured bacterium. Its description in RNAcentral is "partial 16S ribosomal RNA". It matches the Rfam family "Bacterial small subunit ribosomal RNA", at positions 88 to 354 of the family's 1533-position model. The record is from RNAcentral.